This 943-nucleotide ribosomal RNA is filed under the name Bacillus licheniformis. Its description in RNAcentral is "bacterial SSU rRNA". It matches the Rfam family "Bacterial small subunit ribosomal RNA", at positions 35 to 985 of the family's 1533-position model. Lineage: Bacteria; Bacillati; Bacillota; Bacilli; Caryophanales; Bacillaceae. The record is from RNAcentral.
GAGUGCGGCAUCUAUAAUGCAGUCGAGCGGACCGACGGGAGCUUGCUCCCUUAGGUCAGCGGCGGACGGGUGAGUAACACGUGGGUAACCUGCCUGUAAGACUGGGAUAACUCCGGGAAACCGGGGCUAAUACCGGAUGCUUGAUUGAACCGCAUGGUUCAAUCAUAAAAGGUGGCUUUCAGCUACCACUUACAGAUGGACCCGCGGCGCAUUAGCUAGUUGGUGAGGUAACGGCUCACCAAGGCGACGAUGCGUAGCCGACCUGAGAGGGUGAUCGGCCACACUGGGACUGAGACACGGCCCAGACUCCUACGGGAGGCAGCAGUAGGGAAUCUUCCGCAAUGGACGAAAGUCUGACGGAGCAACGCCGCGUGAGUGAUGAAGGUUUUCGGAUCGUAAAACUCUGUUGUUAGGGAAGAACAAGUACCGUUCGAAUAGGGCGGUACCUUGACGGUACCUAACCAGAAAGCCACGGCUAACUACGUGCCAGCAGCCGCGGUAAUACGUAGGUGGCAAGCGUUGUCCGGAAUUAUUGGGCGUAAAGCGCGCGCAGGCGGUUUCUUAAGUCUGAUGUGAAAGCCCCCGGCUCAACCGGGGAGGGUCAUUGGAAACUGGGGAACUUGAGUGCAGAAGAGGAGAGUGGAAUUCCACGUGUAGCGGUGAAAUGCGUAGAGAUGUGGAGGAACACCAGUGGCGAAGGCGACUCUCUGGUCUGUAACUGACGCUGAGGCGCGAAAGCGUGGGGAGCGAACAGGAUUAGAUACCCUGGUAGUCACGCGUAAACGAUGAGUGCUAAGUGUUAGAAGGGUUUCCGCCCUUAGUGCUGCAGCAACGCAUAGCACUCCGCUGGGAGUACGUCGCAGACUGAACUCAAAGAUGACGGGGUCCGCCCAAGGCGGUGAGCCAUGUGUUAUCGAGCACCGGAGACCUACCAGGUCUUUUG